GGUAAAAUGGCUGACAAAAGCUGGGAACUGUAAAUUCUUGUAUAAACAAAAUGUUUUUUUAUCA
This 64-nucleotide transfer RNA is filed under the name Paratrioza sinica. RNAcentral's name for it is "tRNA-Tyr". RNAcentral also lists the same sequence under 1 other name. The record is from RNAcentral. Lineage: Eukaryota; Metazoa; Arthropoda; Insecta; Hemiptera; Triozidae.